Molecule: ribosomal RNA, 505 nt
Filed under: uncultured Alphaproteobacteria bacterium
Lineage: Bacteria; Pseudomonadati; Pseudomonadota; Alphaproteobacteria
Description: bacterial SSU rRNA
Rfam family: Bacterial small subunit ribosomal RNA
Source: RNAcentral
AACAAAACGAACGCUGGCGGCAGGCCUAACACAUGCAAGUCGAACGCCCUAGCAAUAGGGAGCGGCAGACGGGUGAGUAACACGUGGGAACCUUCCCAAUAGUACGGAAUAGCCCAGGGAAACUUGGAGUAAUACCGUAUACGCCCGAAAGGGGAAAGAUUUAUCGCUAUUGGAUGGGCCCGCGUUGGAUUAGCUAGUUGGUGAGGUAACGGCUCACCAAGGCGACGAUCCAUAGCUGGUCUGAGAGGACGACCAGCCACACUGGGACUGAGNACACGGCCCAGACUCCUACGGGGAGGCAGCAGUGGGGAAUAUUGGACAAUGGGCGCAAGCCUGAUCCAGCCAUGCCGCGUGAGUGAUGAAGGCCUUAGGGUUGUAAAGCUCUUUUGUCGGGGACGAUAAUGACGGUACCCGAAGAAUAAGUCCCGGCUAACUUCGUGCCAGCAGCCGCGGUAAUACGAAGGGGGACUGGCGUUGUUCGGAAUCACUGGGCGUAAAGCGCACG